UGCAAACAUGCAACAUCAUUACACACAGUACAAGGAGUCAGACUGGCAUAUGAGGAGCAAAGGAACCCAGGCAGUAGCAUCGUUUCACAAUGUUUCCAUCACCAUCAUCAGUGGAUGCCUUUGCCGUCCGUAGCCUGAGAUUUCAGAUUUGCAGCAAAAAAAAAUUGAUUUUCUCAUUUAUUGGAAUGCUGUGCAGGUUGUACCUUGCAGCCAUCCAUUACAAUGUCACCAAGCCGUAACAAAAGCAGGAGAGGGAAAGUACAAGGCUAUGUUCCCAAAACACACAAGUGACAUACCUUAUGUGGAGGAUGUGAUCAGGCUUGUGUUUGAUGAGGUAUUUGAAGAUAAGCUGAAGGAAACCCCGAUUCCAAUGGACCUGGCAUCACAGUUUGAGAGACCUUCAAAGGAGGACGUGAUUGCAUGCCAUCUUCAGUGCAGGGGGUGUCGAAAGCCAAAAUUGUGACCGAUCUGAUCAGGAAGCUCCAAGCAUAUCUGGAGAACAACACACGACAGGAUG
Long non-coding RNA from Paramisgurnus dabryanus, 517 nucleotides. RefSeq lists it as uncharacterized. The record is from RefSeq and is a predicted model, not a curated record. Lineage: Eukaryota; Metazoa; Chordata; Actinopteri; Cypriniformes; Cobitidae.